GACGAACGCUGGCGGCGUGCUUAACACAUGCAAGUCGAACGGAAAGGCCCUGCUUUUGUGGGGUGCUCGAGUGGCGAACGGGUGAGUAACACGUGAGUAACCUGCCCUUGACUUUGGGAUAACUUCAGGAAACUGGGGCUAAUACCGGAUAGGAGCUCCUGCUGCAUGGUGGGGGUGGGAAAGUUUCGGCGGUUGGGGAUGGACUCGCGGCUUAUCAGCUUGUUGGUGGGGUAGUGGCUUACCAAGGCUUUGACGGGUAGCCGGCCUGAGAGGGUGACCGGCCACAUUGGGACUGAGAUACGGCCCAGACUCCUACGGGAGGCAGCAGUGGGGAAUCUUGCACAAUGGGCGGAAGCCUGAUGCAGCAACGCCGCGUGCGGGAUGACGGCCUUCGGGUUGUAAACCGCUUUCGCCUGUGACGCAGCGUGAGUGACGGUACUGGGUAAAGAAGCACCGGCUAACUACGUG
This 468-nucleotide ribosomal RNA is filed under the name uncultured bacterium. RNAcentral describes it as "partial 16S ribosomal RNA". It matches the Rfam family "Bacterial small subunit ribosomal RNA", at positions 28 to 507 of the family's 1533-position model. The record is from RNAcentral.